This 273-nucleotide ribosomal RNA is filed under the name uncultured bacterium. RNAcentral's name for it is "partial 16S ribosomal RNA". It matches the Rfam family "Bacterial small subunit ribosomal RNA", at positions 524 to 796 of the family's 1533-position model. The record is from RNAcentral.
UACGAAGGGGGCUAGCGUUGCUCGGAAUCACUGGGCGUAAAGGGCGCGUAGGCGGACUCUUAAGUCAGGGGUGAAAGCCCAAGGCUCAACCUUGGAAUUGCCUUUGAUACUGGGAGUCUUGAGACCGGAAGAGGUAAGUGGAACUGCGAGUGUAGAGGUGAAAUUCGUAGAUAUUCGCAAGAACACCAGUGGCGAAGGCGGCUUACUGGUCCGGUUCUGACGCUGAGGCGCGAAAGCGUGGGGAGCAAACAGGAUUAGAAACCCCCGUAGUCC